RNAcentral lists this ribosomal RNA (253 nucleotides) under uncultured bacterium. RNAcentral's name for it is "partial 16S ribosomal RNA". It matches the Rfam family "Bacterial small subunit ribosomal RNA", at positions 524 to 776 of the family's 1533-position model. The record is from RNAcentral.
UACGUAGGGUGCAAGCGUUGUCCGGAAUUAUUGGGCGUAAAGAGCUCGUAGGCGGCUUGUCACGUCGACUGUGAAAACCCGGGGCUCAACUCCGGGCCUGCAGUCGAUACGGGCUGGCUUGAGUGCGGUAGGGGAGACUGGAAUUCCUGGUGUAGCGGUGAAAUGCGCAGAUAUCAAGAGGAACACCGGUGGCGAAGGCGGGUCUCUGGGCCUGUACUGACGCUGAGGAGCGAAAGCGUGGGGAGCGAACAGG